GGACAUGAGUUGAGAAUUUCGUUGGGUCAAGUGUCAACGCAUGAAAAUGUUGUCGCGAUUUUAAUUGUUUUUCUCCGAUUCAGAAAACUCGGAAGAUUAGAAACUUUAUAGCAGAUGGCUAUACAGAAUGCCGUGAAAACGAAAUGACCGUGUACAAACUAAGAUGAUACUAUUCCCAUAUUCUACGUACUGCUCUCUACCUUAUUUUCUUGUCAAGGUAGUGACAACUUGAUCUUGUUGAGCUUAACCAUGAUAGUUUUCAUGUCCAUUCUUUCCUCAGGCAAGUCCUUUGAGCAUUCUAAUCCUAACUCUAGGAUCGAUAAAACUAUACUCCCGAGUUCCAGAGGCGUCAAAUCUUCAUGUUUCAUGCUAUUGAAAAGUUUCGGAGGAAUCGAGCCUGUGAGAUUGGCCGAGGACAAACCAAUGAACUGCAAUGUGGAUAUAUUGCCCAGGAAGCUCGGAAUUUGACCAUGUAAGGGGUUGAGGUCAAGAUAUAGUAGUUGCAACUUAGGGAAGGCGCCGAAUUCUCUCGGUAUACCACCCAUUAGCCUGUUCACUGUGAGUGAAAUGAAUUCGAGAUUUUGGCACUGGGCUAAGUUAGGAGGAAUGUUUCCUUCAAACUGGUUUAUUUCGAGUAUGAGUUCUUUCAAGCGGCGUAAAUGACCGAUUUCUAUUGGAAUUCUCCCGUAGAAACUGUUGUUGCUAAGAUCAAGAGAAGCUAGGAAAGAAAUAUUGCCUAGGAACGGAGAGAGCCUCCCCUGGAGACCCAUGUACAAGAGGUUUAAAGUUGUGACUCUCUGCCUGCAGUUGCUGCAAAUGACGCCAAUCCAUUCACAGAAAUUUGCUUCGGUGGUCCAAUUGCCGCCUUUGAUCGUGUUUGUUGGGUCGGUGUCGAUUGCCGAUUUGAAGUGGAGAAGAGCCACUUGAUCAGUGAAGUUGCUAGAACAAAUGACGGGCUGAAACAUUGAUAGGGAAGCCAACAUAACAUCAAGAAAUGCUAUGAAGAUGAACUUCUCCAUAAUGAACAAUGUAUAUUUUGAGUGCAUCAAUAGAAGGUUAGCUAAUUAGGACCUGUUCUCAGUAUUUAAUAUAAAAAAGAACCAAAUGAUUGUCUCAAUUUAAAUAAAUAAAUAAAUUGUAAAGAAACACUAACUACCAAACGAUGCCCCCACAUGGGGUCUCUAUGGAAAAACAGUAGGUUGCUAUUCAAUGUGAGGGACCUGACAAACUAUAUGAUCCACAUUUCAGAUAUACUCAUAAAUUGAAAAUUUGUUUUGAGUGUAAAAGCUCUAUUACGAUAAUCCCAACUCAUUGGCUCUUUAGGCUAUGUUUGGUCAUCCAAAUUUCUAAUCGGGAUAGGAUAGGAUAUGAAAGCCUAUGAUUUUUUAAUAUCCUGUCCAUUAUUUGAUAAAUCACAAUAUCACGGUAAGAUAUGUUUACAUCAUAUCAUAUGCAUUUUUUUUAUAUAAACGACAUGUCAUUAUAAAUGAACUUAAAUGUUCAUAAACGGAUAUUGUGAAAAUCUCUCGUAACAAUAUUCCUUAAUUUAUUAUUAUUUUUAUUUUUCCUCUUUUUAUAUUAUUUUUUAUAUUAUUUUUUAUAUUAUUUCUUUUUUUUCCCUUUUCAUCAUUCUUUAAUAAAAUUUUAUCAAAUAGUAAACUAUACUAACAUACCUAAAAUAAAAAAAUACCUAAAAUAUAUAAUAAAUAUAAAUAUUUAAUUUAUAGAUUGAAUGUUUAUUAUAAGAUAGAAUUAUAGUUGAAUAUAUAAAUUAAAAUAGGAUUAAUUCAAAGUGAUUUUUUAAAUUUCUUAAAUUAUAUUUCAAAUAAUCAUUUUUAUUUUUUCAAUUUUUAAUUUCUUAAAUUAUAAUUCAAAUAUUAUUUAUUUUGAAAUAUAAUUUCAAUUUUAUUAAUUUAAUAAGUUUAUUAUUCGAGAAAAAUAACUUUCCUAAUAUGGACAUUAAAAAUCCUAUCCACCUUUAUCCCACCUCUCCCAUGAGAUAAUUUUAUCCUGUCUAUAUCUCCUUUAUAUCUGACUUUAUCCUGUCCUGAGUGAGCACCAAACGUAGAAUAUGAUAAAUCAUAUCCUAUCUCGAAUUUUAUCCCGACUGCCAAACACAGCCUUAAUAUUUAAAAGGAUGCUAUUCACAAUACCCUACAAAUUAACCCAAACCAUAAUCACGUAGUGAGAUCUUCCGUGAACGAGGGGAAGUUGGAGAACCCCUCAAUCACGUUUAAUUUAGUAGCCCGUUCUUUAUGUUUACAUGUACACAAUUAUUUGCAACUCUAGGAGGGUAUAAAUGGACCUUUGACUAAUGCUCCAAGGCACGAAUGUGAAAAGGUUUUGUGAUGAAUGCCGUAACCUUCCCAUAGGGAGUGAUUGGAAGUUAAAUUGCUGGAAGAGAUAAUGAUACUAGUAGUCUAUCAACUUUUCAUCCGCGUGUCUUGUCAUAUUUGAAUUUUUAAUCGAUUUAAUUAAAUCACUUUUAAUUAAUGUGAAAUGUUGUGCCACAAGUUUCAUUUAGUGUAAUUAGAUCCUAAUGUAUUUGAUAUGUUUAUUGUCAUCCUUUCAUUAAUUAAUUUAAAUGAAAGGCAUCAUGGACACCAAUUUUAUAAAGUUGGUGUUUGAUGGAGAAAAUUACGUGAGUUUUGUGCGUGUCAUGUGGACUCUCUUCAACAACGAUUUUAGGCUUCUCGUCCAAAAAGGAUAAGGACAAUGACUUUGAAAUCUCUACCAUUAAAAUCCGUGGAAAACUUCACUACUUUCUUUUGAAUCAUAGUGAAAAAUCCUCCCGCAUUCUCCAUUUGAUAUGAUUUCGAGUGAGAGCUUGUAGAAGAAUAAGACCACAAUAAUUUAUAGAAAGUAAGGGGUUUUGUCAUGGUUUGGAAUCUUAGCUGGUAGGCAAUGUCAAUUUUCUUUUUCUCCUUAAACCCGACAUUUCAAUGCCUAAUACUGAUGAAUCUGGACAAUUUGCGAUGCAUUAAUAUUUUGAUAACUACGGCUUCCUCGGUUACCAAUUACUAUACCAUAGUACCUGCAUCAUCAUCCUCUAUAUGUGAUUGAUUCUAAUAUCCAUAAGCACUUUAAUUGAUAAUUCUGUCAGACCCCCAUUUCUCUGAAAUCUACUCGAGAGUCCAUUGAUUGAUGAAAAUGUUUCUCGAGAGAAUCGAGUGAUAAAUCCAGUGUCUUGCAACUAACAAGACGCAAGCAGAUUUGCUCAUUCAAUGGAGGGGCGAGGAUGAGGGGGACUGCGAGAAGUUGCCUUUCAGGGAAGUUGAUAAUCUCUAGUGUGAUUGCAAAUGAGAGGAACCACAGGCUUGGCCGUCAUUAUAUUCAUGAAUCUCUGGUCUGCAAAAGUAAGGUAGACUACUAUACCUUAGUUGGAUUUCUAAUCGAUCCAUAAAGUAUUGGUGGCGUCUCAAGGGUAGGUUUACUUGCAAGUUCAAUCAAGAACUCAAGUUGUUGAAUGGGCUUGGGAGGGCUCAGGUUAAAUGCAAGCGUUGCCUUGUAAGAGGGUCUAUCAUUCCUGCUCAGCAAUUCACCUCAAGAAAGGUUGCAACACCUAAGUGUAAAAGGCUCUCCAUAGUAGCAAAUUUCCUACUAUGCAUAAAGGGAUGCAAGAAGCUUAGCUAGGAGGCAAAGUCAAUUAUAUUUUUCUCCUUAAACCUGACAUUUCAAUGCCCAAGACUAAUGAAUGGGUACAUCGUGUGACGCAUUAGUAUUUUAACAAUUUUAGACGGUCUUCCAAUUAGUUCGGUGUAUGUUCUAGAAUUUGUGUGCAUCUUUGUUCAUCUUUGAUUGUUGUGUGGAUGUGAUGCAAUGGAGCAUGUACCAAAUAGUCUAAUAAUCAAGACUUUUAUUUCUUUUAACCUAGCUAGGUUCGCAUUCUCGAUUUUAUCCACAACAUUGACGUGUCUAUUGAGAUGUGCACAUUAUUGAUUGAUCUAAAGUAUAUCGUUAAUCACAAUAUGGAUCAAUGAUUCUAGAGUGCAUUGCUCGUUAGUAACGAAUAGAAAUAAUGUAAGCUUUUGGAGACUAGGUACCAUAUUUGUUUUUUUAUUUUCCUUGAAGCACCUGUCUCGUUUGGUGCUUGGAUUAGAUUUUGGGUCGAUGUCCUUGUCAACUUAGCCAGCGAAACUUUCAAUUCACUAGAACUUGUGGUUGCUGAGUUAGAUUUUGACUAAACAUGUAGUAUUUUCAUGGAAUUAUGCGGGCACUCCAGCAUAAUAAGUUUAAAACACGGAAGACAAGGAUGCGUAAAUUUCCUGGUUGGGUUGGGUUGAAUAUUUAGAUCCAAAUGGAGGAACUUACCCGCUAAAACCAUUAUGGGGGUGUUGUCAACUCAUAAAGUUUAAACCUAUAUUAAGAAGUGAAAUAAAAGGUUGCCACAGAGGCUUUGAGUGCUAUUGGGGCAAGUUUCGACAUUCUCCAUAGAAAAGACUUGAUUUUACUCUUUGAAAAGAUUGAUGACUCAAUUGGGUCAUAAAGUAACUAGGACUCAAUUGUAUUAUGUGCAAAGAUUUAAGAUUUCUGGUGCACUUUGGUUGCUAUGUUGGUGUAGGUAGGGGGAUUUUUUCUAUACAAAUUGGCUUGAAAGAGAGGAAGUGGGAUGAUUUUACCAAAUAAGUUCAUGUUUAAUUUGAAUAUAGGUCAUUGCGAUUGAACUAUAAAUCAUUAAAGGAAAUUUUGAGGCUUAUAUCAUCAUUUAGCUGAAUUUUUUUGCCAAAAUAACACGAGUCUAUUUUUCAAGUUCUUCUUUUCUUUUAAACAUUGUAUGAGUAAGAAUUGGUCAAGAAGAAAGUCACGGACCAUCUUUUCUUUUACCUUUUUCUUUUUCUUUCUUUGAAGAGCAACUUUUUACCUUUUUCUUUCUUUCUGCCACAUAGAGUGAUAUAAAGUCAUUGACCAUGGUUGAACCUCAAUCAUUUGGACCAAUUUAUGCGAAAGUGUCAAUCCUAAAAUUUAUCACUCAUUUGAAAACCCGAUAUGAUGGUACAUGGGGAUUGUGUUGGACAUACUAGUAAUAUUUCUUGUUUUGCAUGUGAAGGUAUCAUCUGUCCAUGCAAUAUAUACAAGAGUUUGGAAACGAAAGCUUAUUACUGCCCCCACCGAUGACUUUAACUGGGAGCCAUGUUCGUUAUUUUUGAAAACGAUGUCUUAUUCGAUAUGUGUAGCACGAAGCAAUUAACGUUCUUCAUGGGAAGUAAUUGAAGCACCGUAUUUGUUCUGCCAUGACAUCAGUUAUACCAUAUUUAUGAUAUUUGUCUCUUAUUUUCCUCAAAGCACUUGUCUCCUUUGGUGAUUGGAUGAAGUUAUGGGUCGAUGUCCUUGCAACUUGGCCAGCGUAACUUUCAAUCUAGUACUUGUGGUCACUGAGUUAGAUUUGACUAAAUAUGUAUUCUUUUCAUGGAAUUAUGAAAUUUGACAAGCACUCCAGCAUAGUAACCUUAAUUCACGGAAGAAAAGGAUGCGUAAAUUUCCUGGUUGGGUUGUAUGUUCAGGUCCAAAUGGAGGAACUUGCCUACUAAAACCAUUAUGUGGGUGGUCAUCAAGUCGUAAAGUCUAAACCUAUAUUAAGAAGUGAAAGUAAAGGUUCCGCAUAGCCUUUAAGUGCUAUUUGAGCAAGUCUCUACAUUCUCCAUGGAAAAUGACCUGAUUUUACUCUUUGCAAAGGAUGACGACUCAAUCGGGUCAUCAAGUAAUUAGGACUCAUAUGCAUUCUAUGCAAAGAUUUAUGAUUUCUAGUGCACUUUUGCUACUAUGUUGGUAUAGAGGGAUUUUUCAAAUUAUGUACUUAAAAUACCUUAAGAUUUCUAGAUAGAUUAGCUUGGAAAAGAGGAGGAAGGAUGAUUUUACCAAAUAAUUAUUUUUUAACUUGAAUGUAAGUCUUUGCGGUUGUAUUAUAAAUUAGUCUACCUUUUAGGUUCUUCUUUUCUUUUAAAUAUGGCAAGAGUGAGAAUUGGGCAAGUAGAAAGCCACUAACCAUCUUUUUUUUCUUUCGGGGUUUCUUUCUAGAGCAACUUUUUACUUUUGUUUCUAUUUGCCACAUUAGGUGAUAUAAAGUCAUUGACCAUGGUUGAACCUCAAUCAUCCAAACCAAUUCACAUGAAAGAGUAAGAAUUGGGCAAGAAGAAAGCCAUUAACCAUCUUUUCUUUCUUUUGGAGUUUCUUUCUAGAAAUACUUUUUACUUUUUGUCUAUUUGCGACAUAGAGUGAUCCAAAGUCAUUGAUCAUGGUUGAACCUUAAUCAUCCGAACCAAUUCAUGCGAAAGAGUACGAAUUGGGCAAGAAGAAAGCCACUAACUAUCUUUUCUUUCUUUUGGAGUUUAUUUUUAGAGCUACUGUUUACUUUUUUCUUUUCUUUUUGCCACAUUGAGUGACAUAAAGUCAUUGAACAUGGUUGAACCUCAAUCAUCCAAACCAAUUCAUACAAAAGAGUAAGAAUCGGAUAAGAAGAAAGCCACUAACCAUCUUUUCUUUCUUUUGGAUUUUUUUUAGAACAACUUUUUAGUUUUUUUUUUCUUUUUGCCACACACGAUGAUAUAAAGUCAUUGACCGUGGUUGAACCUCAAUCAUUCGGACCAAUUCAUAGGAAAGAGUCAAUCUUGAAAUUUAUCGUUCAAUGCCUUAACACUAGAGAUUUCACUAAAUAUCUUGAUCUAUUGGAAACCUUUCUGCGAUGAUAUAAAGUACAUGCAGAUUUUGUUGGACAUUAAUAAUUCUCAUUUGUCCAAAAAAAAGAAGGGAAAAUUAACAAAUCCUAAAACAGAAACAAACAAACCCUAGGUUUUCUACAGUCUCUCCGUUCCUUGUACCCAUCCUUUGCAAAGUCAAAGAACGAAGUUCUCCCAUUCUUUGUAUCCAUCCCUGCAAAGUCGAAGACCCAAAUUUUCCGCCGGUUGAGGCACAAAUUCAAAAACAAGAAGAAAACCGUAUGCUUUCUUUGUUUGUUUGCGGAGACCAAAAUUCUCCACCAGUUGAGCAAGACGAGGAGCGCCGAGAAUCUAGUUGCGAUGAUGACCGGACAACGAUUUGGUUGAGGAGCAACGUAGGAGAAAGAAGAAAACGUAAACUUAAUUAAUUGAGAUUUUUUCCUUCUUUUUUUUUCCAAUCACAAAUUUAUGACCAAAUUGCCCCUAUUUUAAUCACCAAAAAAUGUCUGACGGCAAAUUAAGGUCCUCAAUAGAGAUUAACUUGAUUAUUUUGGGUCCUUAUUUGAUAUAAAAUUCACUUCGGGUCCUUAUUUAAAACAAUGGGUCCACUUUGGGUCCUUAUAUGACACAAAGUUCACUUUGGGUCGUUAUUUGAGAAAAUAAAUUCAUUUCGGGUCCUUAUUUGAAAUUUUCUCUUAAAUGCACCGGUCACAUAUUCACUCUUAAUAUAGGCUAUGUGGCACUAACACGGACACGCGACACGCGACACGACACGACACGACACACUGACAUGUCAUUUCUUAAAAAUAGAGAAUUUCGACACAUUCCGACACGUUAUAAAUUAAAUAUAUUUUUAUAUAUAAUUACAUAAAUAAAUAAUAAUAAAAACAACAGAGAAUUAAUUUACACGAAGAAUAUUAAAUAAUAUCAUUCAUUAUUUUAAUUUGUUACAAUAAUACACAAAACUUAGAGGAAAAAAACAUAAUAAAGCAAUUCUAAAAGACUUUUAAAUAAUAUCAUUCAUUAUCGUAUAUAGAAUUUUUUAUUACUUCUUUCAUAAUAAAAGACUUUUAAAAAAAAUAAAACAAUUCUAAAAAAACAAAACUGAAAAAAAAAAAAUUGACCCCAUGCGUGUAUAUUUAUAGCAAUUUUAUUACUUCUUUUAUUACUUCUUUUGUGUAUAUUUAUAUUUUGACCCCUCAAGUAUUAGAAAUUUUUAAAAUUGACCCCGUGCGUGUCGGAAUCGCGUGUCGGAAUUCUGGACUCGCGUGUCAGAGCGUGUCGAAGAGAGUUGACCAUGUGUCGGAUUUUUCGACACUCAUUGACUGUGUGUCGGAGCGUGUCGGGACGUGUCGGAGCGUGUCGGACACGUGUCGGAGUGUCGGACACGACACGAAGGCUUCCGGAGAGUGUCCGUGCUACAUAGAAUAUAGGCACAGCACUACAAUUGAUAAAGCACGUCAUUCCGGGUGCUACUGCUAGUAGCAUACGACGACAUGGUUGUCAAAAUUGUGGUUCAGAUUGUACGAUCAAUGACAUACGAUCCCAAAUCUACUAAACGAUCCCUAUCACACAGAAAAGGGGUUAGAGAUAAAAAAAAAAAAAAAAAACCAUUUUAGAUUGCCCGUCAAGAUCUUAAAAUUUUAUUCCUGAACGUUAAAUCACAAAAGUAGCCAAUACAAAAAUUAAAUUUGGGCCAAAAUUAGUAAUGCCCAGCCUAAAAUAUUUAAUCCGAAACUCCAGAUAUCGCCUAAGCGACAAAUCUGUUGGUAGUACUAAUAAUGAUUUUGUGAUUGAUAAUGAAUUCGAUGAGGAAGGCCGACGAGCCAGUUACAAUCUCAAUCAAGAUGUCGAGAUGACAGCUGAUGAUUUAUUCUAGAUAAGUUUUUUUUAUGCCUUUUUAUGUCAUACUAAUAAAUUUUCUUCAUUUGUUUUGUUUUGUGUUUUUUAACUGUUUGAUACGAAAAUGACAUUAUUGAACUAUAAUGUAAUUUAAAAUAGCGGCAGUGAAAUUUUCCAGUGCAGACCUAUUUUUUAUACCACUAAGGUCUUGUUCAAUUUAUUUAUGACUUACGAUAAGGUGGGAGGUCUUGUAGAUUAGGUGGUGAUUAUACUAAAAUAGGGAUUUUAAAAAGUCUGUACGGCAAUCCAGAAGCCGAAAAUAUCGAGGCUCUGCUGAAUGUCGCAAUGAAGAAUUAGUUCUAAACAUUCAUUUCGACAUUCUGACAUUGAGAUGGGUGUUAUACCUUCCGAAGUCGGACAUGAGUUGAGAAUUUCGUUGGGUCAAGUGUCAACGCAUGAAAAUGUUGCCGCGAUUUUAAUUGUUUUUCUCCGAUUCAGAAAACUCGGCAGAUUAGAAACUUUAUAGCAGAUGGCUAUACAGAAUGCCGUGAAAACGAAAUGACCGUGUACAAACAAAGAUGAUACUAUUCCCAUAUUCUACGUACUGCUCUCUACCUUAUUUUCUUGUCAAGUAGUGACAACUUGAUCUUGUUGAGCUUAACUAUGAUAGUUUUCAUGUCCAUUCUUUCCUCAGGCAAGUCCUUCGAGCAUUCUAAUCCUAACUCUAGGAUCGAUAAAACUAUACUCUCGAGUUCCGGAGGCGUCAAAUCUUCAAGUUUC
RNAcentral lists this long non-coding RNA (9275 nucleotides) under Eucalyptus grandis. RNAcentral describes it as "long non-coding RNA (EGRA_LNC001668)". The record is from RNAcentral. Lineage: Eukaryota; Viridiplantae; Streptophyta; Magnoliopsida; Myrtales; Myrtaceae.